This 148-nucleotide signal recognition particle RNA is filed under the name Gorilla gorilla gorilla (western lowland gorilla). RNAcentral's name for it is "Metazoan signal recognition particle RNA". It matches the Rfam family "Metazoan signal recognition particle RNA". From Rfam's summary of the family: The signal recognition particle (SRP) is a universally conserved ribonucleoprotein. It is involved in the co-translational targeting of proteins to membranes. The record is from Rfam by way of RNAcentral. Lineage: Eukaryota; Metazoa; Chordata; Mammalia; Primates; Hominidae.
GCCGGGCCUGGUGGCGCAUGCCUGUAAUCCCAGCUACUCAGGAGGCUGAGGCAGAAGAAUCACUUGAGCCUGGGAGGCAGAGGCUGCAGUGAGCCGAGAUCAUGCCACUGCACUCCAGCCUGGGCUACAGAGCGAGAUUCUGUCUCAA